GGGGAAUAUUGCACAAUGGGGGAAACCCUGAUGCAGCGACGCCGCGUGAGUGAGGAAGUAUUUCGGUAUGUAAAGCUCUAUCAGCAGGGAAGAAAAUGACGGUACCUGACUAAGAAGCCCCGGCUAACUAC
Molecule: ribosomal RNA, 131 nt
Filed under: uncultured bacterium
Lineage: Bacteria
Description: partial 16S ribosomal RNA
Rfam family: Bacterial small subunit ribosomal RNA
Source: RNAcentral